UGGGGAAUUUUGGACAAUGGGCGAAAGCCUGAUCCAGCCAUGCCGCGUGCAGGAUGAAGGCCUUCGGGUUGUAAACUGCUUUUGUACGGAACGAAAAGACUCUGGUUAAUACCUGGGGUCCAUGACGGUACCGUAAGAAUAAGCACCGGCUAACUACGUGCCAGCAGCCGCGGUAAUACGUAGGGUGCAAGCGUUAAUCGGAAUUACUGGGCGUAAAGCGUGCGCAGGUGGUUAUAUAAGACAGAUGUGAAAUCCCCGGGCUCAACCUGGGAACUGCAUUUGUGACUGUAUAGCUGGAGUACGGCAGAGGGGGAUGGAAUUUCCGCGUGUAGCAGUGAAAUGCGUAGAUAUGCGGAGGAACACCGAUGGCGAAGGCAAUCCCCUGGGCCUGUACUGACGCUCAUGCACGAAAGCGUGGGGAGCAAACAGGAUUAGAUACCCUGGUAGUCCACGCCCUAAACGAUGUCAACUGGGUUGUUGGGCCUUCACUGACUCAGUAACGAAGCUAACGCGUGAAGUUGACCGCCUGGGGAGUACGGCCGCAAGGUUGAAACUCAAAUGAAUUGACGGGGGUCAUA
Molecule: ribosomal RNA, 578 nt
Filed under: uncultured bacterium
Lineage: Bacteria
Description: partial 16S ribosomal RNA
Rfam family: Bacterial small subunit ribosomal RNA
Source: RNAcentral